GUGGGGAAUAUUGGACAAUGGGGGCAACCCUGAUCCAGCCAUGCCGCGUGUGUGAAGAAGGCCUUUUGGUUGUAAAGCACUUUAAGUGGGGAGGAGGCUUACCUGGUUAAUACCUAGGCUAAGUGGACGUUACCCACAGAAUAAGCACCGGCUAACUCUGUGCCAGCAGCCGCGGUAAUACAGAGGGUGCGAGCGUUAAUCGGAUUUACUGGGCGUAAAGCGCGCGUAGGUGGCCAAUUAAGUCAAAUGUGAAAUCCCCAAGCUUAACUUGGGAAUUGCAUUCGAUACUGGUUGGCUAGAGUAUGGGAGAGGAUGGUAGAAUUCCAGGUGUAGCGGUGAAAUGCGUAGAGAUCUGGAGGAAUACCGAUGGCGAAGGCAGCCAUCUGGCCUAAUACUGACACUGAGGUGCGAAAGCAUGGGGAGCAAACAGGAUUAGAUACCCGAGUAGUCC
Molecule: ribosomal RNA, 451 nt
Filed under: uncultured bacterium
Lineage: Bacteria
Description: partial 16S ribosomal RNA
Rfam family: Bacterial small subunit ribosomal RNA
Source: RNAcentral